Molecule: long non-coding RNA, 959 nt
Organism: Arachis duranensis
Lineage: Eukaryota; Viridiplantae; Streptophyta; Magnoliopsida; Fabales; Fabaceae
Exons: 4
Source: RefSeq, a predicted model, not a curated record
AAGCAUAUUGCAUUUGAGGCAAGAUGAAACUUAUGGGAUCCUUGAGGAAUUGACACGUCAAAUGACAAGUAUAAAUAAACGAUAUAGCUGCCUUAAUCAGCAAUGUAUUGACGACGAAUCAGAGCUCUUGCUUGUUACAAACUAAUUAGAGGCAAGAAGAUUAUUUAUUUUUUGCACUGGGUCGUCGCAGUAUAUAGUGGAGUUCUUGCUGCAGUGACAAUCUCGGUGAUCUAAUCCGGCUGUGGGUGACUGCAUCAACGUCGAAUCCAAUGAUUUCGGCAGUGACAACUCCAGAGAUCUGAUCCUCAUAUGAUCUUCCACAUGAUAACACCCCUUAUCUUUGUUGUGGAUUCUCAGGAAACGUUCUCGCGAUUGGAAUAAUAUCACCCAUGGGAGAAUCAGUGACAUGGUUUUUGAAUAUGAAGGAGUCAACUUCCAUCCUCUUUUACUAAUGGAGAUAUCAGGAAAAUCAUUUUGCAUCUCCAGUUCUUCUAUGGUAUGUUAUUUAUAAAAGGAUGUCUUGAGAAGCUAAUUACUUUGGCAGCACUUUUUCAUAAUAUUUGGUACAGUGAUGCUACAUGGACAAACUUUUUUGUGAACCAAGUCCAACCAAGUUAUUGCAACCCCAACAAAAACCAUUCUUAGCACUAAGGGUGUGUAAAACAUGCUCCCACUCACCCAAACCUUUGGUAGACAGCAUAAAUCAUAAUCACUCAUAAAUCAUAAUCACUACUUCCUCUUAUAUUCUCACUCUCAGAAACUAAACAAGCAUCAACAAAGACACAGAACCGCAAACCAAAUGAGCAUCAACGAAGCAAAUCACUACUUUCAUCUCACAGUCUCUUUCUCGAAACCCUACUUUGGUAAAGCAAACCAAACAAACUAAAAACAGAGUAUCAACGAAGGUAAAUCAUUGAAUACUACUCUUUUUUUGUGCUUUUCAGUCGGAAUACACCGCA